Oncorhynchus keta (chum salmon) is the source of this 1689-nucleotide long non-coding RNA. RefSeq lists it as uncharacterized. The record is from RefSeq and is a predicted model, not a curated record. The transcript is spliced from 3 exons. Lineage: Eukaryota; Metazoa; Chordata; Actinopteri; Salmoniformes; Salmonidae.
UCACUAUCACUGACCAACCAGGUGAGGUUAUAUACUACUGUCACUAUCACUGACCAACCAGGUGAGGUUAUAUACUACUGUCACUAUCACUGACCAACCAGUUAAGAGGUUAUAUACUACUGUCACUAUCACUGACCAAUCAGGAGAGAGGUUAUAUACUACUGUCACUAUCACUGACCAACCAGGUGAGGUUAUAUACUACUAUCACUAUCACUGACCAACCAGUUAAGAGGUUAUAUACUACUGUCACUAUCACUGACCAACCAGGAGAGAGGUUAUAUACUACUGUCACUAUCACUGACCAACCAGGAGCGAGGUUAUAUACUACUGUCACUAUCACUGACCAACCAGGAGAGAGGUUAUAUACUACUGUCACUAUCACUGACCAACCAGGUGAGGUUAUAUACUACUGUCACUAUCACUGACCAACCAGGAGAGAGGUUAUAUACUACUGUCACUAUCACUGACCAACCAGGUGAGGUUAUAUACUACUGUCACUAUCACUGACCAACCAGGUGAGAGGUUAUAUACUACUGUCACUAUCACUGACCAGCCAGGAGCGAGGUUAUAAACCACUGUCACUAUCACUGACCAACCAGGUGAGAGGUUAUAUACUACUGUCACUAUCACUGACCAACCAGGAGCGAGGUUAUAUACUACUGUCACUAUCACUGACCAACCAGGAGAGAGGUUAUAUACUACUGUCACUAUCACUGACCAACCAGGUGAGGUUAUAUACUACUGUCACUAUCACUGACCAACCAGGAGAGAGGUUAUAUACUACUGUCACUAUCACUGACCAACCAGGUGAGGUUAUAUACUACUGUCACUAUCACUGACCAACCAGGAGAGAGGUUAUAUACUACUGUCACUAUCACUGACCAACCAGGUGAGGUUAUAUACUACUGUCACUAUCACUGACCAACCAGGUGAGAGGUUAUAUACUACUGUCACUAUCACUGACCAGCCAGGAGCGAGGUUAUAAACCACUGUCACUAUCACUGACCAACCAGGUGAGAGGUUAUAUACUACUGUCACUAUCACUGACCAACCAGGAGCGAGGUUAUAUACUACUGUCACUAUCACUGACCAACCAGGAGAGAGGUUAUAUACUACUGUCACUAUCACUGACCAACCAGGUGAGGUUAUAUACUACUGUCACUAUCACUGACCAACCAGGAGAGAGGUUAUAUACUACUGUCACUAUCACUGACCAACCAGGUGAGGUUAUAUACUACUGUCACUAUCACUGACCAACCAGGAGAGAGGUUAUAUACUACUGUCACCAUCACUGACCAACCAGGUGAGGUUAUAUACUACUGUCACUAUCACUGACCAACCAGGUGAGGUUAUAUACUACUGUCACUAUUACUGACCAACCAGGAGCGAGGUUAUAUACCACUGUCACUAUCACAGACCAACCAGGUGAGAGGUCAGGGUCCAGGGUGUAUCACAUGUUGUGAAAAAAGAAAGAAAGAUACCUGUAUAUUAUUUUGAUCGUUUCAUAGUUUUAAUAUAACAGUGUUUCUUUGGAUCUUCGUCAGUUCACAGGAUAGCGUCGCACAACAGGUCCCGGACAUUAUUAUCUUGGGUGUUGAGAACAUGGGUAACAGCCUCAUUUGAGGUUAGAAAGCCAGCCAUUACUUCCUCCUCUGUAAGAUGGCCAUUACACACUUCCUCUCUCGUUGC